This 468-nucleotide ribosomal RNA is filed under the name uncultured bacterium. RNAcentral's name for it is "partial 16S ribosomal RNA". It matches the Rfam family "Bacterial small subunit ribosomal RNA", at positions 28 to 507 of the family's 1533-position model. The record is from RNAcentral.
GAUGAACGCUGGCGGCGUGCCUAAUACAUGCAAGUCGAACGGAAAGGCCCUGCUUUUGUGGGGUUCUCGUUUGCCGAACGGGUGAGUAUCACGUGAGUAUCCCGCCCCUGACUUUGGGAUAACUUCAGGAAACGGGGGCUAUCAUCGGAUAGGAGAUCUUGCUGCACGUUGGUCGUUGGAAAGUUACGGCGGGUGGGGAUGGACUCGCGGCCUAUCAGCUUGUUAGGGGGGUAGUGGAUUACCAAGGCUUUGGCGGGUAGCCGACCUGAGAGGGGGACCAGCGACAGUGGGACUGAGGUACGGCACAGAAUCGUACGUGACGCAACAGUGGGAAAUAUUGCAGAAUAAGCGGAAGCCAGAUGCAGCAACGCCGCGAGCGGGAUGACGGCCUUCGGGGUGUAAACCGCUUUCGCCUGUACCGAAGCGGGAGUGACGGUAAUUGGUAAAAAAGCACCGGCUAACUACGUG